This 465-nucleotide ribosomal RNA is filed under the name uncultured bacterium. RNAcentral's name for it is "partial 16S ribosomal RNA". It matches the Rfam family "Bacterial small subunit ribosomal RNA", at positions 339 to 795 of the family's 1533-position model. The record is from RNAcentral.
CUACGGGUUGCUGCAGUGGGGAAUAUUGCAUAAUGGGCGCAAGCCUGAUGCAGCCAUGCCGCGUGUAUGAAGAAGGCCUUCGGGUUGUAAAGUACUUUCAGCGGGGAGGAAGGGAGUAAAGUUAAUACCUUUGCUCAUUGACGUUACCCGCAGAAGAAGCACCGGCUAACUCCGUGCCAGCAGCCGCGGUAAUACAGGAGGGUGCAAGCGUUAAUCGGAAUUACUGGGCGUAAAGCGCACGCAGGCGGUUUGUUAAGUCAGAUGUGAAAUCCCCGGGCUCAACCUGGGAACUGCAUCUGAUACGGGGAAGCUUGAGUGUAGUAGAGGGGGGUAGAAUUCCAGGGGUAGCGGUGAAAUGCGUAGAGAUCUGGAGGAAUACCGGUGGCGAAGGCGGCCCCAUGGACGAAGACUGACGCUCAGGUGCGAAAGCGUGGGGAGCAAACAGGAUUAGAUACCCUUGUAGUC